CACCGGCACCUCGAGUGGUAGCCACUAUUAUUGGGCCUAAAGCGUUCGUAGCCGGUUUGGUAAAUUCUUGGGUAAAUCGUACAGCUUAACUGUGCGGAUUCCGGGGACACUACCAGACUUGAGACCGGGAGAGAUCAGAGGUACUUGUAGGGGAGCGGUGAAAUGUUGUAAUCCUACAGGGACCACCAGUGGCGAAGGCGUCUGAUCAUAACGGCUUUGACGGUGAGGAACGAAACCCUGGGGCGCAAACG
This 251-nucleotide ribosomal RNA is filed under the name uncultured archaeon. Its description in RNAcentral is "partial 16S ribosomal RNA". It matches the Rfam family "Archaeal small subunit ribosomal RNA", at positions 474 to 725 of the family's 1478-position model. The record is from RNAcentral.